AUACGGAGGGUGCAAGCGUUACUCGGAAUCACUGGGCGUAAAGGACGCGUAGGCGGGAUGCCAAGUCUGAUGUGAAAUCCUACAGCUCAACUGUAGAACUGCAUUGGAAACUGGUAACCUAGAGUAUGGGAGGGGGAGAUGGAAUUAGUGGUGUAGGGGUAAAAUCCGUAGAUAUCACUAGGAAUACCUAAAGCGAAGGCGAUCUCCUGGAACAAUACUGACGCUAAGGCGUGAAAGCGUGGGGAGCAAACGGGAUUAGAAACCCUUGUAGUCC
RNAcentral lists this ribosomal RNA (274 nucleotides) under uncultured bacterium. Its description in RNAcentral is "partial 16S ribosomal RNA". It matches the Rfam family "Bacterial small subunit ribosomal RNA", at positions 523 to 796 of the family's 1533-position model. The record is from RNAcentral.